GAUGAACGCUGGCGGCGUGCCUAAUACAUGCAAGUCGAGCGAACAGACGAGGAGCUUGCUCCUCUGACGUUAGCGGCGGACGGGUGAGUAACACGUGGAUAACCUACCUAUAAGACUGGGAUAACCUCGGGAAACCGGAGCUUAUACCGGAUAAUAUAUUGAACCACAUGGUUCAAUAGUGAAAGACGGUUUUGCUGUCACGUAUAGAUGGAUCCGCGCCGCAUUAGCUAGUUGGUAGGGUAACGGCCUACCAAGGCAACAAUGCCUAGCCGACCUGAGAGGGGGAUGCGCCACACAGGACUGAGACAGGGUCAAGACGCCUACGAGAGGCAGCAGUAGGGAAUGUGACGCAAUGGGCGAAAGCAUGACAGAACGACGCCGCGUGAGUGAUAAAGGUCUUCGGAUCGUAAAGCUCUGUUAUUAGGGGAGAACCAAUGUGUAAGUAACUAAGCACGUAUUGACGGUAACUAAUCAGAAAGCCACGGCUAACUACGUG
RNAcentral lists this ribosomal RNA (496 nucleotides) under uncultured bacterium. RNAcentral describes it as "partial 16S ribosomal RNA". It matches the Rfam family "Bacterial small subunit ribosomal RNA", at positions 28 to 507 of the family's 1533-position model. The record is from RNAcentral.